AGAGAUUGCUUGUUAAAGAAAUA
RNAcentral lists this non-coding RNA (23 nucleotides) under Arabidopsis thaliana (thale cress). The record is from RNAcentral. Lineage: Eukaryota; Viridiplantae; Streptophyta; Magnoliopsida; Brassicales; Brassicaceae.